Molecule: ribosomal RNA, 676 nt
Filed under: Halicephalobus gingivalis
Lineage: Eukaryota; Metazoa; Nematoda; Chromadorea; Rhabditida; Panagrolaimidae
Description: LSU rRNA
Rfam family: Eukaryotic large subunit ribosomal RNA
Source: RNAcentral
AAUUUCCGGUUGAUCGAGUUCCAAGAAGGUUUAAGACCUGUAAGGUAUUUAACAUUAUGUCAAUUGGUUUAUUCUUACGAGUCGGGUUGUUUGGAAACGCAGCCCAAAGUAGGUGGUAAACUCCAUCUAAAGCUAAAUAUAACCGUGAGACCAAUAGUAAACAAGUACCGUGAGGGAAAGUUGAAAAGCACUCUGAAGAGAGAGUUAAAAGAACGUGAAAACGAUUAAGUGGAAGCAAACAGGUCUAUUUGAAGAUAUAUAGUUUUCUAUAUAUCUGCUAAUACAUAUGUAGAGCUAUUAUUAUUCUAUUUUAAGAGGACUCUAUAUGAGAACCCUUAUGAUGGUUGAACGUUGUCUCUGUAUAUGAAUAUUAGCAUUUAUGAUGGUUACCUGUUUGACCCGUCUUGAAACACGGACCAAGAAGUUUAUUGUAUACGCGAGUCAUUAAGUGUAAAAACUUAUUGGCAUAAUGAAAGUAAAGGUUUACUUGUUAAACUGAUGUAUGAUAAAGUGUUUACGGACAUUUUAGCAGUACAGUCCUAUUCUUAUGGCUUGCCAUGGAGUGGAGAUAGAGCGUAUGCAAUGAGACCCGAAAGAUGGUGAUCUAUGCUGGAGGGGAAUAAAAGCCGGAGGAAAACUCCUGGUGGAAGUCCGUAACGGUUUGGGGGGGAAAAAG